ACUCAAAUGAAUUGACGGGGGCCCGCACAAGCGGCGGAGCAUGUUGCUUAAUUCGAUGCAACGCGAAGAACCUUACCUACGUUGAACUACGCAGGAAAAGCCGUGGAGACACGGUGUCCGAAAGGGCCUGCGAUAGGUGGUGCAUGGCUGUCGUCAGCUCGUGUCGUGAGAUGUUGGGUUAAGUCCCGCAACGAGCGCAACCCUUUUCCUAUGUUGCCAGCGGGUAAUGCCGGGGACUCGUAGGAGACUGCCGGGGUCAACUCGGAGGAAGGUGGGGAUGAAGUCAAGUCUGCAUGCCCCUUACGCGUAGGGCUGCUAACAUGCUACAAUGGCCGGUACAAAGGGCUGCUAAUCCGCGAGGAGGAGCGAAUCCCAAAAAGCCGGUCUCAGUUCGGAUUGGAGUCUGCAACUCGACUCCAUGAAGUCGGAGUCGCUAGUAAUCCCGGAUCAGCUACGCCGGGGUGAAUACGUUCCCGGGCCUUGUACACACCGCCCGU
This 497-nucleotide ribosomal RNA is filed under the name uncultured bacterium. Its description in RNAcentral is "partial 16S ribosomal RNA". It matches the Rfam family "Bacterial small subunit ribosomal RNA", at positions 899 to 1397 of the family's 1533-position model. The record is from RNAcentral.